This 253-nucleotide ribosomal RNA is filed under the name uncultured bacterium. Its description in RNAcentral is "partial 16S ribosomal RNA". It matches the Rfam family "Bacterial small subunit ribosomal RNA", at positions 524 to 776 of the family's 1533-position model. The record is from RNAcentral.
UACGUAGGUGGCAAGCGUUAUCCGGCUUUACUGGGUGUAAAGGGCGUGUAGGCGGGAAAGCAAGUCAGAUGUGAAAACCAUGGGCUCAACCUGUGGCCUGCAUUUGAAACUGUUUUUCUUGAGUACUGGAGAGGCAGACGGAAUUCCUAGUGUAGCGGUGAAAUGCGUAGAUAUUAGGAGGAACACCAGUGGCGAAGGCGGUCUGCUGGACAGCAACUGACGCUGAGGCGCGAAAGCGUGGGGAGCAAACAGG